Felis catus (domestic cat) is the source of this 85-nucleotide non-coding RNA. The record is from Rfam. NCBI's taxonomy places the organism in Eukaryota, Metazoa, Chordata, Mammalia, Carnivora, Felidae.
GCCUGGGUGGCUCAGUCGGUUAAGUGUCUGAUUUCGGCUCAGGUCAUGAUCUCACGGUUCGUGGGUUUAAGCCCCACGUCGGGCU